Molecule: long non-coding RNA, 2071 nt
Organism: Aegilops tauschii subsp. strangulata
Lineage: Eukaryota; Viridiplantae; Streptophyta; Magnoliopsida; Poales; Poaceae
Source: RefSeq, a predicted model, not a curated record
GUCCUUUUAUGCGUGAUAUCAUUUUAAUACCGGUUUCAAAUUUGCUUUAUCUUGUUAUCCCUCGUUCAUUAAAUUAUAGGAUUCUAUUUGUUUGUAUGACUAAAUGCAGAUAUGAAAUUAUUCUUGACAGAUGAUUGUAACUAAGGUCAUGUUCUAGGUAUAAAAAAUGAUCUGCUGGAUCAUGCUCUUGCAAUAACUGAUUUCACUAUCAAGUCUACAAUCCAAUGUUGAUCUAGAAGGCAGACUCUUUAAACUUCAUUGAUGCUUUCUUGGCUGUUUUGAUCUAAUAUCUCUCUGAUGUGGUUAGUAUAAACAUAUGGUGGUAUAAUUAGUUUUUGCUUUUUUUGUGGGAUGAUAAUGUUGCAGAUAGAUGAAGACUGAAUUAGUUCACAAUUGAUCUUGGUUCUGUACGAUCUUCAAUAUUUGGGUCUCGUAGGUCUGUCUCCCAAGAGCAACGAGAAGAAAUCUGUUAACACAUUACUUCAUUAUAUGUAACAUAUGUCCAUUUUCACGGAAUGAAAGGUGACUACUAAUUACUUGUGAUGAACCAUUAUGGUGCCCCGAACUUUCUGACCAUUUGAGUUAUACUCCAGAGUCUUGAUGUUGACUGAAUUGAAAAUUUGGAGCUGUCGAGACUCGAGCUUCAUUUUUUGUGGAUUAGUGGUUAUUGAAUUUUUAUGCCUCUAGCCCAUGCUUGCAGGAACACAAUUAUUGAGUGGAACAAUGGGUGUAAAAGAGUAUGUGCAGAGUGAAUUUGAUAACGUAGAAGCUCAAAUUAGAAGCACAAAUACGGUCCUUUUUCCAAUUUUUGGAAGCAGCGGUUCUACUGCUGCUCCUGCGAUGACCGAGGAUAGGCUGCAACUCUAGAUACAGAGAAAGCGAGUACAUCUAUAUAAUCUUCGAUUCUUCUUUUUGUUUGUGAUGCUGCUACAUUUUUCUUAAGCAGGGCUUGCCACUUUGUUGCAGUUGUGAGUUCUUUUAGUUUCCUUUUUACAGACAACUUGGAGCUCAAUUCUUAAAUUCCAAGGCCAUCGAGCAGGACAUGGAUCAUAUACUAGGAGUUUUAGUUAUGUGUGCAUCUAAUGUGGGCAAACCACAUGGGCACAUUCUUUUAUUUCGCUGGUGCAAAACCUAUGAAGUUUUCCUUGUCAGCUAAUUUAAUGUGCUUACCUCUGCAUUAGACAGCUAGCUAUUAUGAUUAUACACUACGUUUCCUAUGUUAUGUGCUUGGUUUUCCUCUUUUGCUCACUCCUUCCAUUGUUGGUGAAGGAUAGGUCAGUCCAUAGUUCAUCGUUUGGCUUGCUUCUCGCUAAGCUCUUUCUUCCUUGUCUCCUGUUCGGUAAAAUGUCUGAGAGCUGACAUAGUUUUGUUUCUCGUUUCCUUGCCUGUCCAGGUUCUUUGUUGGUUCGUUGGCAGUUCCUAAUUUUUUUCCUGUAGCCGGUUGAGGGAUUCCACCAUUAGCAUAAAGAUCAAGGCAGCGGGCGGUGGCUGUGGAAAGCAGGGGUUCCACAAUUGGCUACAUCGUCUCAAGGAGAAGAAUUCUUACAUGAUCCCUAUAACUGCUCGUUUUGUUGAUGUCUUCGCCCUAUGUGUCCAGGUUCUCAACUUCAGUCCUUCACAAUGCAAUGUGUCCAGGAUCUAAGAAUGGACAUAUAACACUUCUUAUAAUUCAGACCAUGCUUGCCAAUAAAGUUGAAUGUGCUGGAGCAAUAGUUCUAAAACUUCAUUAAGUCGAAGUAGGCAACAUUUUUUCUUAGUGGCCUUCUUUCUCCGUGGUAUCUCAAAUGCAAGCAAGCAUGCCUUUGCUAAGGGUUAGAAGAAGCCAAUGAAAAUUUGUGCAAAUGAUGGCUCUAAGGGUUAGAAGAAGCCAAGGAGCAUGUGAUAGGCUUUUUUGAUAGUUUAUCAGAAGAAAGUGUAGAAGAAAAUGGAGAGGAUGAUGAAGUGACUCAAAUAGAAGUACGAAAUAUCUGCGUCAGCAAGCUAGGUUGUCAUUGGUUGGUUGAUUCAACAACAUUUUGGUGCCUUGCAAUAUGAUUUUCACAAUCGUAUCAGUGCAAGCUCAUAGGUACCA